AAAGAUUUUUAACUUAGUUUGUAAAAUAAAUUAUUGGAUUUAUUAUGUAGUUUAUUAACUACAUACUUUUAUAAAUUAUAUUGUAAGCUUUUGAAGGUCUAUUAGAAUUUGAUUUUUGUUUUUUUUUUUUUUACUGUGUUACUUAUGUAUAAUAAAUAAUUUUACUUUAAUUUACUUAUUUUUAAGCAUUUAUUAUGUUAAACAUACAUUUAAGAACACAUAAAUUAUUUUAAUAAGGAAAAAUUAACAUAUUAUGUCUUAAUAGACUUUUUAAUUUUAACAAAUAAUCAUUUAAUAUUAUGAAUGAAUUGUUUCCUUAUGAUAUACAUAGUAAUUAAAUAUUCAAAUGUAAUUUAACCUUUGUUAAAGGCACCUAGUUGUCUAGUUUAUUUAUCAAACAAUUAACAAUUUAAAAUAGGCAUGACAACUUGUUCAGGUAUUUGAAUUUUUAUUUUAGUUAUUUUUUUUAUGACUAGAAAUAAAUAAAUAAUUUAUUAUAAUAUAUUAGGCAGUGGUAUAAAGAUAUUAAAUAUAUACAUAUAUAGUAUUUACCUAUUACCUAUAUAAUAUUUUAAUCUAUUGACUAUUUUUAUUUUAUUAUUAGGUAUGUAUAACUGAUAAUUAUUUUAGUUACCUAUGUACAAUGUAUAUGCAUAACAAUUAAUAAUUGAAGGUCACCUAAUUUGCAUUGAUUGUUUCAGUUUAAUUAAUGAGAAACUCAAAUAUUGUCAAACAAAAAAAGUUACCUAUUUUUAAAAAAUUAACUAAUUUUCUUUUUUAACAAUAAUUUAAAAACCAGUAAUGUAUCUCAUGCUCUUAAACAUAUUUUCAUCUUAUUAUUAAUAUUUCUUCUAUUGUUAUUUUUUUCUCUAAUUUCAACUAAAAACGCAACAAUUAUGUUUAUAUAAUUUGGCUAGGUAUGUUGCCCAUUAGUUAGACUGAGGCAACAGCUAUAGGUGUUCUGGCCUCUUAAAAAAUUAAGUUUAAUGUUUUAUUUUAUAUUAUUUAAUUUGUAUAUUGUUAAUUAAUAGUAUAUUAUUAUAAAAUACUUACCUUAUCUAUGUAAAACUAAUAGUUACCAUUUUGAAGAAACAUAUUAUAUCCAUUACCUACAUAGAUUUAAAAUUGACCUUAUAUACCAAAG
Non-coding RNA from Cinara cedri, 1144 nucleotides. The record is from the annotation of a GenBank genome assembly. NCBI's taxonomy places the organism in Eukaryota, Metazoa, Arthropoda, Insecta, Hemiptera, Aphididae.